GAUGAACGCUAGCUACAGGCUUAACACAUGCAAGUCGAGGGGCAGCAUUUCAGUUUGCUUGCAAACUGGAGAUGGCGACCGGCGCACGGGUGAGUAACACGUAUCCAACCUGCCGAUAACUCGGGGAUAGCCUUUCGAAAGAAAGAUUAAUACCCGAUGGUAUAAUCAGACCGCAUGGUCUUGUUAUUAAAGAAUUUCGGUUAUCGAUGGGGAUGCGUUCCAUUAGGCAGUUGGUGAGGUAACGGCUCACCAAACCUUCGAUGGAUAGGGGUCCUGAGAGGAAGGUCCCCCACAUUGGAACUGAGACACGGUCCAAACUCCUACGGGAGGCAGCAGUGAGGAAUAUUGGUCAAUAGGCGCAGGCCUGAACCAGCCAAGUAGCGUGAAGGAUGACUGCCCUAUGGGUUGUAAACUUCUUUUAUAUGGGAAUAAAGUUUUCCACGUGUGGAAUUUUGUAUGUACCAUAUGAAUAAGGAUCGGCUAACUCCGUGCCAGCAGCCGCGGUAAUACGGAGGAUCCGAGCGUUAUCCGGAUUUAUUGGGUUUAAAGGGAGCGUAGGUGGACAGUUAAGUCAGUUGUGAAAGUUUGCGGCUCAACCGUAAAAUUGCAGUUGAUACUGGCUGUCUUGAGUACAGUAGAGGUGGGCGGAAUUCGUGGUGUAGCGGUGAAAUGCUUAGAUAUCACGAAGAACUCCGAUUGCGAAGGCAGCUCACUGGACUGCAACUGACACUGAUGCUCGAAAGUGUGGGUAUCAAACAGGAUUAGAUACCCUGGUAGUCCACACAGUAAACGAUGAAUACUCGCUGUUUGCGAUAUACAGUAAGCGGCCAAGCGAAAGCAUUAAGUAUUCCACCUGGGGAGUACGCCGGCAACGGUGAAACUCAAAGGAAUUGACGGGGGCCCGCACAAGCGGAGGAACAUGUGGUUUAAUUCGAUGAUACGCGAGGAACCUUACCCGGGCUUAAAUUGCAUUUGAAUAUAUUGGAAACAGUAUAGCCGUAAGGCAAAUGUGAAGGUGCUGCAUGGUUGUCGUCAGCUCGUGCCGUGAGGUGUCGGCUUAAGUGCCAUAACGAGCGCAACCCUUAUCUUUAGUUACUAACAGGUCAUGCUGAGGACUCUAGAGAGACUGCCGUCGUAAGAUGUGAGGAAGGUGGGGAUGACGUCAAAUCAGCACGGCCCUUACGUCCGGGGCUACACACGUGUUACAAUGGGGGGUACAGAAGGCAGCUACCUGGUGACAGGAUGCUAAUCCCAAAAGCCUCUCUCAGUUCGGAUCGAAGUCUGCAACCCGACUUCGUGAAGCUGGAUUCGCUAGUAAUCGCGCAUCAGCCAUGGCGCGGUGAAUACGUUCCCGGGCCU
Molecule: ribosomal RNA, 1359 nt
Filed under: uncultured bacterium
Lineage: Bacteria
Description: bacterial SSU rRNA
Rfam family: Bacterial small subunit ribosomal RNA
Source: RNAcentral